AUUAUUUUGGCAGAAUAGUGCGAUAAAUUUAGAAUUUAUAUAAGUAAAUAAUAUUUAUAAAUAAUA
This 66-nucleotide transfer RNA is filed under the name Sirex nitobei. Its description in RNAcentral is "tRNA-Leu". Lineage: Eukaryota; Metazoa; Arthropoda; Insecta; Hymenoptera; Siricidae. The record is from RNAcentral.